GGCUUACCAAGGCAACGAUGCGUAGCCGACCUGAGAGGGUGAUCGGCCACAUUGGAACUGAGACACGGUCCAGACUCCUACGGGAGGCAGCAGUGGGGAAUAUUGCGCAAUGGGGGAAACCCUGACGCAGCAACGCCGCGUGGGUGAUGAAGGUCUUCGGAUUGUAAAGCCCUGUUUUCUAGGACGAUAAUGACGGUACUAGAGGAGGAAGCCACGGCUAACUACGUGCCAGCAGCCGCGGUAAUACGUAGGUGGCGAGCGUUGUCCGGAUUUACUGGGCGUAAAGGUGCGUAGGCGGAUGUUUAAGUGGGAUGUGAAAUCCCCGGGCUUAACCUGGGGGCUGCAUUCCAAACUGGAUAUCUAGAGUGCAGGAGAGGAAAGCGGAAUUCCUAGUGUAGCGGUGAAAUGCGUAGAGAUUAGGAAGAACACCAGUGGCGAAGGCGGCUUUCUGGACUGUAACUGACGCUGAGGCACGAAAGCGUGGGUAGCAAACAGGAUUAGAUACCCUGGUAGUCCACGCCGUAAACGAUGGAUACUAGGUGUAGGGGGUAUCAACUCCCCCUGUGCCGCAGUUA
Molecule: ribosomal RNA, 575 nt
Filed under: Clostridium botulinum
Lineage: Bacteria; Bacillati; Bacillota; Clostridia; Eubacteriales; Clostridiaceae
Description: bacterial SSU rRNA
Rfam family: Bacterial small subunit ribosomal RNA
Source: RNAcentral